CCUGGGGUCGGGCCACCAUUGAACCAAGACGAAGCUUCCCAUGGGGGAAAGGAGCCCCCAGAGGGGCGUCCUACUCCUGCAAGCUCUCCCACAUGCCUUUCUAGGGGAUGGAGGUGGGACUUCGAAGCCCGGAGGACCGGCUGCUCUGGGUCCAAGGCACCGAAGGCGGAGGAGAGGGCAGCCCCGGUCCCGGGCGAGCUCUUUCAGGUCCUGGACAAGAUGGCGGGGAAGGUUUGCCCAGUUCUGGGCCUCCUCCAUCCCGUUCCAGGCAGCCUUCCAGAACCCCUGAACUCUAGAGUCUUCUCUCCCCGAUUAUUCCCCAACUCUCCUCUCUCUCUGUCUCUGAGUCAUUUCCCAUCUCUCCUCUCUCUGUCUGUCUCUGAGUUAUUUCCCAUCUCUCCCUUCUGUCUCUGAGUCAUUUCCCAUCUCUCCUCUCUCUGUCUGUCUCUGAGUUGUUUCCCAUCUCUCCUCUCUCUGUCUGUCUCAGUUAUUUCCCAUCUCUCCCUUCUGUCUCUGAGUUAUUUCCCAUCUCUCCUCUCCGUCUCUUGAGUUAUUUCCCAUCUCUCCAUUCCAUCUCUUGAGUUAUUUCCCAUCUCUCCUCUCUCUCUCUCUGUCCCCAUGUCUCUGUUAUUUCCCAUCUCUCCUCUCAUUUCCCAUCUCUCCUCUCUCUCUCUGUCCCCAUGUCUCUGUUAUUUCCCAUCUCUCCUCUCUCUCUCUCUGUCCCCAUGUCUCUGUUAUUUCCCAUCUCUCCUCUCUCUGUCUGUCUCAGUUAUUUCCCAUCUCUCCUCUCUGUCUCUUGAGUUAUUUCCCAUCUCUCCUCUCAUUUCCCAUCUCUCCUCUCUCUCUCUCUGUCCCCAUGUCUCUGUUAUUUCCCAUCUCUCCUCUCUCUGUCUGUCUCAGUUAUUUCCCAUCUCUCCUCUCUGUCUCUUGAGUUAUUUCCCAUCUCUCCUCUCAUUUCCCAUCUCUCCUCUCUCUCUCUCUCUGUCCCCAUGUCUCUGUUAUUUCCCAUCUCUCCUCUCUCUCUCUGUCCCCAUGUCUCUGUUAUUUCCCAUCUCUCCUCUCUCUCUCUGUCCCCAUGUCUCUGUUAUUUCCCAUCUCUCCUCUCUCUCUCUGUCCCCAUGUCUCUGUUAUUUCCCAUCUCUCCUCUCUCUGUCUGUCUCUGAGUUAUUUCCCAUCUCUCCUCUCAUUUCCCAUCUCUCCUCUCAUUUCCCAUCUCUCCUCUCUCUCUCUCUCUGUCCCCAUGUCUCUGUUAUUUCCCAUCUCUCCUCUCUCUCUCUGUCCCCAUGUCUCUGUUAUUUCCCAUCUCUCCUCUCUCUCUCUGUCCCCAUGUCUCUGUUAUUUCCCAUCUCUCCUCUCUCUGUCUGUCUCUGAGUUAUUUCCCAUCUCUCCUCUCAUUUCCCAUCUCUCCUCUCAUUUCCCAUCUCUCCUCUCUCUCUCUCUCUGUCCCCAUGUCUCUGUUAUUUCCCAUCUCUCCUCUCUCUCUCUCUCUGUCCCCAUGUCUCUGUUAUUUCCCAUCUCUCCUCUCAUUUCCCAUCUCUCCUCUCCUCUCCCUCCAUUCCUGGCCUCUCCCAUUGCAUGGGGAGCUCCUCGAGGGCAUGGAUGGUCUUUUGUCUCUUCUGUAUCCUCAGCCAGGUGCCUGGUACACAGCAGGUGCUUAAUAAAUGUUUGUUUGUUCAUCGGUUGCA
Molecule: long non-coding RNA, 1685 nt
Filed under: Monodelphis domestica (gray short-tailed opossum)
Lineage: Eukaryota; Metazoa; Chordata; Mammalia; Didelphimorphia; Didelphidae
Description: lncRNA (ENSMODG00000037757.1)
Source: RNAcentral